UACGAAGGGGGCUAGCGUUGCUCGGAAUCACUGGGCGUAAAGGGUGCGUAGGCGGGUUUUUAAGUCAGAGGUGAAAUCCUGGAGCUCAACUCCAGAACUGCCUUUGAUACUGAAAGUCUUGAGUAUGGGAGAGGUGAGUGGAACUGCGAGUGUAGAGGUGAAAUUCGUAGAUAUUCGCAAGAACACCAGUGGCGAAGGCGGCUCACUGGCCCGGUACUGACGCUGAGGUGCGAAAGCGUGGGGAGCAAACAGGG
RNAcentral lists this ribosomal RNA (254 nucleotides) under uncultured bacterium. RNAcentral's name for it is "partial 16S ribosomal RNA". It matches the Rfam family "Bacterial small subunit ribosomal RNA", at positions 524 to 777 of the family's 1533-position model. The record is from RNAcentral.